RNAcentral lists this long non-coding RNA (583 nucleotides) under Brassica rapa (field mustard). RNAcentral describes it as "long non-coding RNA (BRAP_LNC001488)". The record is from RNAcentral. Lineage: Eukaryota; Viridiplantae; Streptophyta; Magnoliopsida; Brassicales; Brassicaceae.
CCUGACUGGUUCAAACGCAGCGGUUGUAGUUGCGGGAGUUUGUGGAUGCGGGCGGUUGCGGUUUCUAGCAGUUUUAAGAAAUUUGUAUGACUGGUACUGCGGUUAAAAAUUGGUGCGUUUGCGGGUGAUUUAUGACUAGUUAACUACCAAAUGCGGUAACAGUCAAAUAAUAAAUUAACAAUAUUUACAUUUAAUAUAAUUAUAAAAAUAUCAAAAAUCAUCAAAUUAUAAUAAAUAUAAAACUUAUAUUUAGAAAGUUAUAAUUUUAAAUUUUGAAAAUUAAUUGAAAUUGUUUUAUUAUAAAAUUUUAUAAUAUUAAUUAAAAUAUAAUAUAUAUAUUUUAAUAUUUUCAUAAUUUCAAUUUUAAAUUUUUAUUAAAUAUUUUUACUUUUGUAUAUAUAUUGUUUAAAAAAAAAGAAAAAAAUUUUACCCUCCCGCAACCGCUAGCUGGAGCCAGCUUUUGAAUUUAUGAGAUUCGGAGCGGUUUGAAGCGGUUUAGAGCGAUUUGAGUGAUUGUUGCAAACCGCCGACAACCGCUACCAACCGCAAAAGCUGCGUUUGCGGGUGGUAGCGGGAAAACCAG